GAGGAUGUAGCUCAGUGGUAAAGUGCAUGCCUAGCAUGCAAGAAGUCCUGGGUUCAAUUCCCAGUACCUCCA
This 72-nucleotide transfer RNA is filed under the name Camelus bactrianus (Bactrian camel). It matches the Rfam family "tRNA". From Rfam's summary of the family: Transfer RNA (tRNA) molecules are approximately 80 nucleotides in length. Their secondary structure includes four short double-helical elements and three loops (D, anti-codon, and T loops). Further hydrogen bonds mediate the characteristic L-shaped molecular structure. tRNAs have two regions of fundamental functional importance: the anti-codon, which is responsible for specific mRNA codon recognition, and the 3' end, to which the tRNAs corresponding amino acid is attached (by aminoacyl-tRNA synthetases). tRNAs cope with the degeneracy of the genetic code in two manners: having more than one tRNA (with a specific anti-codon) for a particular amino acid; and 'wobble' base-pairing, i.e. permitting non-standard base-pairing at the 3rd anti-codon position. Lineage: Eukaryota; Metazoa; Chordata; Mammalia; Artiodactyla; Camelidae. The record is from Rfam by way of RNAcentral. RNAcentral also lists the same sequence under 2 other names.